UUGGGCGUAAGAGCUCGUAGGUCGUUUGUUACGUCGGAUGUGAAAACCUGAGGCUCAACCUCAGGCCUGCAUUCGAUACGGGCAAACUAGAGUUUGGUAGGGGAGACUGGAAUUCCUGGUGUAGCGGUGGAAUGCGCAGAUAUCAGGAGGAACACCAAUGGCGAAGGCAGGUCUCUGGGCCAAUACUGACACUGAGGAGCGAAAGUCUGGGGAGCGAACAGGAUUAGAUACCCUGGUAGUCCAGACCGUAAACGGUGGGCACUAGUUGUGGGAACCUUCCACGGUUUCUGCGACGCAGCUAACGCAUUAAGUGCCCCGCCUGGGGAGUACGAUCGCAAGAUUAAAACUCAAAGGAAUUGACGGGGCCCCGCACAAGCAGCGGAGCAUGCGGCUUAAUUCGACGCAACGCGAAGAACCUUACCAAGGCUUGACAUAUAGGGAAAAGUGGCAGAGAUGUCAUGUCCGUAAGGGCUCUAUACAGGUGGUGCAUGGUUGUCGUCAGCUCGUGUCGUGAGAUGUUGGGUUAAGUCCCGCAACGAGCGCAACCCUCGUUCUGUGUUGCCAGCAUUUAGUUGGGGACUCACAGGAGACUGCCGGGGUUAACUCGGAGGAAGGUGGGGAUGACGUCAAAUCAUCAUGCCCCUUAUGUCUUGGGCUGCACGCAUGCUACAAUGGCCGGUACAGAGGGCUGCAAUACCGUAAGGUGGAGCGAAUCCCAAAAAGCCGGUCUCAGUUCGGAUUGAGGUCUGCAACUCGACCUCAUGGAGUUGGAGUUGCUAGUAAUCGUAGAUCAGCAUCGCUACGGUGAAUACGUUCCCGGGGCUUGUACACAC
This 833-nucleotide ribosomal RNA is filed under the name uncultured Actinomycetes bacterium. Its description in RNAcentral is "bacterial SSU rRNA". It matches the Rfam family "Bacterial small subunit ribosomal RNA", at positions 554 to 1390 of the family's 1533-position model. Lineage: Bacteria; Bacillati; Actinomycetota; Actinomycetes. The record is from RNAcentral.